UUACAGAGGAAGAAUCACCCCCACGUGUGGGGGUUUGACGGUACUCUGCGAAUAAGGGAUCGGCUAACUCCCGUGCCAGCAGCCGCGGUAAUACGGAGGAUCCAAGCGUUAUCCGGAAUCAUUGGGUUAAAGGGUCCGUAGGCGGGCAGUUAAGUCAGUGGUGAAAGUCUUCCGCUCAACGGGAGAACUGCCAUUGAUACUGAUUGUCUUGAGUUAUUAUGAAGUGGUUAGAAUGAGUAGUGUAGCGGUGAAAUGCAUAGAUAUUACUCAGAAUACCGAUUGCGAAGGCAGAUCACUAAUAAUAUACUGACGCUGAUGGACGAAAGCGUAGGUAGCGAACAGGAUUAGAUACCCUGGUAGUCUACGCCGUAAACGAUGGUUACUAGCUGUUCGGCCCAAUUGAGGGCUGAGUGGUUAAGCGAAAGUGAUAAGUAACCCACCUGGGGAGUACGUUCGCAAGAAUGAAACUCAAAGGAAUUGACGGGGGCCCGCACAAGCGGUGGUUGGUAAGGUUCUGCGCGUUGCUUCGAAUUAAACCACAUGCUCCCUUGACAUCCUGUGCUAACCCGAGAGAUCGGGCGUUCACUUCGGUGACGCAGUGACAGGUGCUGCAUGGCUGUCGUCAGCUCGUGUCGUGAGAUGUUCGGUUAAGUCCGGCAACGAGCGCAACCCACAUCCUUAGUUGCCAGCAGUUCGGCUGGGCACUCUAAGGAAACUGCCCGUGAUAAGCGGGAGGAAGGUGUGGAUGACGUCAAGUCCUCAUGGCCCUUACGGGUUGGGCUACACACGUGCUACAAUGGCAGUGACAAUGGGUUAAUCCCCAAAAGCUGUCUCAGUUCGGAUUGGGGUCUGCAACUCGACCCCAUGAAGUCGGAAUCGCUAGUAAUCGUGGAACAGCAUGCCACGGUGAAUACGUUCCCGGGCCUUGUACACACCGCCCGUCACACCAUGGGAGUUGGUUCUACCCGACGGCCGUGCGCCAACCUUUCGAGGAGGCAGCGGACCACGGUAGGAUCAGCGACUGGGGUGAAGUCGUAACAAGGUAACCAA
RNAcentral lists this ribosomal RNA (1050 nucleotides) under uncultured bacterium. RNAcentral's name for it is "bacterial SSU rRNA". It matches the Rfam family "Bacterial small subunit ribosomal RNA", at positions 434 to 1503 of the family's 1533-position model. The record is from RNAcentral.